Molecule: non-coding RNA, 2590 nt
Organism: Ictidomys tridecemlineatus (thirteen-lined ground squirrel)
Lineage: Eukaryota; Metazoa; Chordata; Mammalia; Rodentia; Sciuridae
Source: RefSeq, a predicted model, not a curated record
CUUUUGGACCUGUGGUAAGGUAGUAUAUCAUGGUGGGAGCAUGUGAUAGAGCAAAACUCCUCACCUCAUGGCCAGGAAACAAAAGAGAGAAUGGGGGACUAGGGUCCCACAUACUCCUCAAGGUCAUGACCCAGAGACCUUUCAGUAGCCCCACUUUCCAAAGGCCCCACCACCUCCCAUUAGUGCCACUCUAGGAACCAAGCCUCAACACCUGGGAGCCUUUGAGGACACUCAGUGUUCAGUCUAUGGCAUUGUGGGAACUGCUCUGACAUUUGUGGGUCCCCUCUGUGAUGUUACCUCAUGACUUCCCAGCCACACAGAAGCCAACAGAAAGGAUCCCAGUUGAGUUUCCUUCCGUUUCAAUAACCACACUUGGCUCCCAGGGUUUAAAAAGUUAGUACAGAGGGGCCCAGUGGCUCCUGGGAACAGUCUUUCCUUUGCUUGGAUCUGCAGAUUGGGAUUUCUGUACACAGUCCCUCGGUUCCCAGUUCUGGCCUUGACAGGCUGCUAGCCCUCCUCUAGUUCCUCCUAGAGGGAGACAGACGGUUUCCUCCAUCUUUCCACGGGAUGCUUCACUUCCCCAGGCUCUGUGGCUCUUUGGUAUUUCCUUUUCAUUCUGAGACAUGUAGGAUGCUUCCAGAGAGUUCAGGGAGCUUGUGGAACGUUCAAAACAAAAUUGGUUUUGUUCACUUGACUCGUGGGGUGGCGGUGGUUUUUAACCUGAAUUUUGGAUAAGUGCUGGGCCGAGUUGCUGGGUGGGAGGGUUUGAGGGAGUGCGGAGAAGGCCUCGGGAGGAAGGAUUAGGUGUCUAGACUCAGGUUCAGUCAUUGGUGCAGGCUCAGGACCGACCCAGGAUGAGUCAUCCGCCUGGUGUCUGCUCUGGCCGGGUGAGGGCCUUCACACACCUUUUAUUUUUCUCUUUUAAUUGACACAUAAUAAUUGCACAUAUUUAUGACAGACAUUAUAAAAGAGCCCAGUCCUGCACAGACAAUAUUUUUCCUAUCCUUUGAAGGUAGACUGUUCUGUUGUGUCACACUUCAGCCAAAUAUGGUAUUCAAGCUGACUACCUACAUUCUGAGUCAUCUCUGGGCCUCUGUCUCAGGGUGAGAAAAGCAAUAUAUCUUAAAAGCAGUAGAAAUUAACUCUGACCAUACUUUGUUUUCCGUUAACAGGGAAACUGAGGCGCCUUCUCUGCUUUAUCAAAGGAGAUGUGACUUUCAUUCAGAUCCUUGUCUGUAAGCUCAGUCCUCCAGUCUCUCCAAUAGCAGGAAUCUCUGCUGUGGGUUGGUGAUAAGUUACAUACGUCUACGGACCAUUCCAGAAGGAAUAUCCUUGGACCCAUGCACUGGGCACAACCAGCGCAUACUAAUCAUUUACCAUACACAUGGCUGAAGGUGCUACUGUAGGAGAAAGGGGAGCAGUAGAUGUGACUUCUUCAUCAAGAAAUUCCACACCUCCUGGGGGAGGUCAUUGUGCCCAGUGAUACCCAUAAUCCAAAGCAGAAAGUGAUAAACAUCAUAAGCAAGGAGAAAUUGGAACACUGUGGGAAUGCAAAAUGGUGCGGCCCCUAUGGGAAAUGGCAUGGAAGAUCCUCUACAAAUGACAGUAGAAGGAACCACCUUAUGAUCAGCAGUUGCACUUCCAGUACACGGGGUUCUGAGGUGUCUUUCUUCCAGUCCUACCGAAGGAGAACUUGAUGUAACAGAGAAGAAUCAGAAGAGCCAGCCACAGCUCACCCCGCUUCUUCCAAGGGCUCCCCGACUAGAGGCUCCAGGGGAACCCCACCACCACAAGAUGCUUUCUGCAACCCCAGUGUGUAUGUUCUCGUGACCUCCCUGAUCCCCGUGCUGGAAAAAGAACACCAUCCAAGAGCGGGAAACCCCAGGGCUGUCCAAGGGCCAAAAGAAAGGCAGAGCCAUGCCAAGAGCUGUGUUUAGGAGCCCAGCCCUCUCUGGAGGUGGUCCUCCUGCUGUCACUGAGCUUCUCUUCACAGAGACGGGAGGAGGCUUCUGAAGGUCAAGAGCAACUGGGGAGCCAUUCAGGUGAGGGCAGCUGUGCGUCCUGGGUCCACUCUGACCACAUGGAAGAGACUGGCUAAUGGAGCCUGUUCCUGAGUGGGUCUGAAGGACAGAGCAGAGAGGUCGAGGCGGGGAGGCCGUUUAGUCGGGCUGCCUUCUCUCCUCUGCUGGGGUGGCAGAAUAAUGACCCCUCCCCAGCCACACCAAGAUGUCCCUGUUCUAGUUCCUGGAACUGGCGACCAUGUCACCUUUACAUGGCAGAAGGGACUUGGCAGAGGCAUUGAAGUUAAGGACCUCGAGAUGGGAAGAGCAUGCCGGAUUCUCCACGUAGACCUGUCAUCAUCACAGAGGUCCUCGUGAGAGGGAGGCAGGAGGGCCAGGGUCAGGGAGGGAGAUAUGAUGAGGUCGCAGUGAAGUGGCCACAAGCCGAGCUGCUAGGAGCUGGAGCAGGUGAGGAAUGAAUUCUCUAAAACCUGCAGCGGGCACACAGCUCUGUGGACACUGGAUUUUAGCCCCAUAAAUCCCAUCUCAGAUUUUUUUACUUCCAGAAGAAUAAAGCUGUGUUAUUUUAA